GAAUGCUGACAUAAGUAACGAUAAAGCGGGUGAAAAGCCCGCUCGCCGGAAGACCAAGGGUUCCUGUCCAACGUUAAUCGGGGCAGGGUGAGUCGACCCCUAAGGCGAGGCCGAAAGGCGUAGUCGAUGGGAAACGGGUUAAUAUUCCCGUACUUGGUGUUACUGCGAAGGGGGGACGGAGAAGGCUAUGUUGGCCGGGCGACGGUUGUCCCGGUUUAAGCGUGUAGGUGUGUGUUCCAGGUAAAUCCGGUUCACUUUAACACUGAGGCGUGACGACGAGGCACUACGGUGCUGAAGCAACAAAUGCCCUGCUUCCAGGAAAAGCCUCUAAGCAUCAGGUAACACGAAAUCGUACCCCAAACCGACACAGGUGGUCAGGUAGAGAAUACCAAGGCGCUUGAGAGAACUCGGGUGAAGGAACUAGGCAAAAUGGUGCCGUAACUUCGGGAGAAGGCACGCUGACACGUAGGUGAAGUGAUUUACUCAUGGAGCUGAAGUCAGUCGAAGAUACCAGCUGGCUGCAACUGUUUAUUAAAAACACAGCACUGUGCAAACACGAAAGUGGACGUAUACGGUGUGACGCCUGCCCGGUGCCGGAAGGUUAAUUGAUGGGGUCAGCGUAAGCGAAGCUCCUGAUCGAAGCCCCGGUAAACGGCGGCCGUAACUAUAACGGUCCUAAGGUAGCGAAAUUCCUUGUCGGGUAAGUUCCGACCUGCACGAAUGGCGUAAUGAUGGCCAGGCUGUCUCCACCCGAGACUCAGUGAAAUUGAACUCGCUGUGAAGAUGCAGUGUACCCGCGGCAAGACGGAAAGACCCCGUGAACCUUUACUAUAGCUUGACACUGAACAUUGAGCCUUGAUGUGUAGGAUAGGUGGGAGGCUUUGAAGUGUGGACGCCAGUCUGCAUGGAGCCGACCUUGAAAUACCACCCUUUAAUGUUUGAUGUUCUAACGUGGACCCGUAAUCCGGGUUGCGGACAGUGUCUGGUGGGUAGUUUGACUGGGGCGGUCUCCUCCUAAAGAGUAACGGAGGAGCACGAAGGUUGGCUAAUCCUGGUCGGACAUCAGGAGGUUAGUGCAAUGGCAUAAGCCAGCUUGACUGCGAGCGUGACGGCGCGAGCAGGUGCGAAAGCAGGUCAUAGUGAUCCGGUGGUUCUGAAUGGAAGGGCCAUCGCUCAACGGAUAAAAGGUACUCCGGGGAUAACAGGCUGAUACCGCCCAAGAGUUCAUAUCGACGGCGGUGUUUGGCACCUCGAUGUCGGCUCAUCACAUCCUGGGGCUGAAGUAGGUCCCAAGGGUAUGGCUGUUCGCCAUUUAAAGUGGUACGCGAGCUGGGUUUAGAACGUCGUGAGACAGUUCGGUCCCUAUCUGCCGUGGGCGCUGGAGAACUGAGGGGGGCUGCUCCUAGUACGAGAGGACCGGAGUGGACGCAUCACUGGUGUUCGGGUUGUCAUGCCAAUGGCACUGCCCGGUAGCUAAAUGCGGAAGAGAUAAGUGCUGAAAGCAUCUAAGCACGAAACUUGCCCCGAGAUGAGUUCUCCCUGAGACUUUAGGUCUCCUGAAGGAACGUUGAAGACGACGACGUUGAUAGGCCGGGUGUGUAAGCGCAGCGAUGCGUUGAGCUAACCGGUACUAAUGAACCGUGAGGCUUAACCUUACAACGCCGAAG
RNAcentral lists this ribosomal RNA (1667 nucleotides) under Salmonella enterica. RNAcentral describes it as "partial 23S ribosomal RNA". It matches the Rfam family "Bacterial large subunit ribosomal RNA", at positions 1292 to 2925 of the family's 2925-position model. The record is from RNAcentral. Lineage: Bacteria; Pseudomonadati; Pseudomonadota; Gammaproteobacteria; Enterobacterales; Enterobacteriaceae.